GACGAACGCUGGCGGCGUGCUUAACACAUGCAAGUCGAACGGUGACGCGCCUUCCUUUUUGGUGGGUGUGGAUGAGUGGCGAACGGGUGAGUAACACGUGAGUAACCUGCCCCCUUCUUCUGGAUAACCGCAUGAAAGUUUGGCUAAUACGGGAUAUUCUGGGCCUGUCGCAUCAUGGGUUCGUGAAAGCUUUUGUGUCGGUGGGGGCUGGGCUCGCGGCCUAUCAGCUUGUUGGUGUGGUGAUGGCCUACCAAGGCGGUGACGGGUAGCCGGCCUGAGAGGGUGGGCGGUCACGCUGGGACUGAGACACGGACCAGACUACGACGGGAAGCAGCAGGGGGGAAUAUAGCACAAUGGGAGCAAGGCUGAUGCAGCGCCGCCGCGGGAGAGAUGGAGGCCUUCUGGUAGUGAACCUCUUUCGCCAGUGAAGCGGGGCUGCCUCGUUUGUGGGUGGGUUGACGGUAGCUGGAUAAGAAGCGCCGGCUAACUACGUG
Molecule: ribosomal RNA, 494 nt
Filed under: uncultured bacterium
Lineage: Bacteria
Description: partial 16S ribosomal RNA
Rfam family: Bacterial small subunit ribosomal RNA
Source: RNAcentral